RNAcentral lists this ribosomal RNA (540 nucleotides) under Bifidobacterium dentium. Its description in RNAcentral is "bacterial SSU rRNA". It matches the Rfam family "Bacterial small subunit ribosomal RNA", at positions 162 to 711 of the family's 1533-position model. The record is from RNAcentral. Lineage: Bacteria; Bacillati; Actinomycetota; Actinomycetes; Bifidobacteriales; Bifidobacteriaceae.
GGUAAUGCCGGAUGCUCCGGUUGGAUGCAUGUCCUUCCGGGAAAGGUUCCAUCGGUAUGGGAUGGGGUCGCGUCCUAUCAGCUUGAUGGCGGGGUAACGGCCCACCAUGGCUUCGACGGGUAGCCGGCCUGAGAGGGCGACCGGCCACAUUGGGACUGAGAUACGGCCCAGACUCCUACGGGAGGCAGCAGUGGGGAAUAUUGCACAAUGGGCGCAAGCCUGAUGCAGCGACGCCGCGUGCGGGAUGGAGGCCUUCGGGUUGUAAACCGCUUUUGAUCGGGAGCAAGCCCUUCGGGGUGAGUGUACCCUUCGAAUAAGCACCGGCUAACUACGUGCCAGCAGCCGCGGUAAUACGUAGGGUGCAAGCGUUAUCCGGAAUUAUUGGGCGUAAAGGGCUCGUAGGCGGUUCGUCGCGUCCGGUGUGAAAGCCCAUCGCUUAACGGUGGGUCUGCGCCGGGUACGGGCGGGCUGGAGUGCGGUAGGGGAGACUGGAAUUCCCGGUGUAACGGUGGAAUGUGUAGAUAUCGGGAAAGAACACCA